CCUACGGGAGGCAGCAGUGAGGAAUAUUGGUCAAUGGCCGGAAGGCUGAACCAGCCAAGCCGCGUGAAGGACGAAGGUGCCCAGCAUUGUAAACUUCUUUUGUCAAGGGACAAAAUCAGGCUCGAGAGCCUGACCGAGGGUACUUGAAGAAAAAGCAUCGGUUAACUCCGUGCCAGCAGCCGCGGUAAUACGGAGGAUGCGAGGGUUAUCCGGUUUUAUGGGGUUUAAGGGGUGCGUAGGCGGACUGUUAAGUCAGCGGUAAAAGCCCGGGGCUCAACCCCGGCGAGCCGUUGAAACUGGGUAUCUUGAGAUGUCGAGAGGUAUGCGGAAUGCGCAGUGUAGCGGUGAAAUGCUUAGAUAUUGCGCAGAACUCCGAUUGCGAAGGCAGCAUACCGGCGGCGAUCUGACGCUGAGGCACGAAAGCGUGGGUAUCGAACAGGAUUAGAUACCCGAGUAGUC
RNAcentral lists this ribosomal RNA (459 nucleotides) under uncultured bacterium. RNAcentral's name for it is "partial 16S ribosomal RNA". It matches the Rfam family "Bacterial small subunit ribosomal RNA", at positions 338 to 795 of the family's 1533-position model. The record is from RNAcentral.